GCCCCUGUAGUGUAAUGGAUAGCAUAUGAGACUUCUAAUCUUCUGGUAUGGGUUCGAUCCCCAUCAGGGGUA
Molecule: transfer RNA, 72 nt
Organism: Tritrichomonas foetus
Lineage: Eukaryota; Parabasalia; Tritrichomonadida; Tritrichomonadidae
Rfam family: tRNA
About the family: Transfer RNA (tRNA) molecules are approximately 80 nucleotides in length.
Source: Rfam